Molecule: ribosomal RNA, 335 nt
Filed under: uncultured bacterium
Lineage: Bacteria
Description: bacterial SSU rRNA
Rfam family: Bacterial small subunit ribosomal RNA
Source: RNAcentral
AUUGAACGCUGGCGGCAGGCCUAACACAUGCAAGUCGAGCGGAUGAGUGGAGCUUGCUCCAUGAUUCAGCGGCGGACGGGUGAGUAAUGCCUAGGAAUCUGCCUGGUAGUGGGGGACAACGUUUCGAAAGGAACGCUAAUACCGCAUACGUCCUACGGGAGAAAGCAGGGGACCUUCGGGCCUUGCGCUAUCAGAUGAGCCUAGGUCGGAUUAGCUAGUAGGUGAGGUAAUGGCUCACCUAGGCGACGAUCCGUAACUGGUCUGAGAGGAUGAUCAGUCACACUGGAACUGAGACACGGUCCAGACUCCUACGGAGGCAGCAGUGGGGAAUAGUU